GGGUGAAGGAGAAGUACACCCUUGCAAGAGAGAAAUAUGAAGAGGCACUUUUGAUCAAGCCUGACUUUUAUGAAGGUCUAUUGGCCCUUGGCCAACAGCAGUUUGAAAUGGCUAAACUUCACUGGUCUUUUGCACUAGCUAAGAAAAUAGACCUCUCAAGUUGGGAUUUUACAGAAACACUUGAGCUUUUUGACAGUGCAGAGGAGAAAAU
Molecule: unclassified non-coding RNA, 211 nt
Filed under: Hevea brasiliensis (rubber tree)
Lineage: Eukaryota; Viridiplantae; Streptophyta; Magnoliopsida; Malpighiales; Euphorbiaceae
Source: RNAcentral